This is a long non-coding RNA of Argiope bruennichi, 480 nucleotides long. RefSeq lists it as uncharacterized. NCBI's taxonomy places the organism in Eukaryota, Metazoa, Arthropoda, Arachnida, Araneae, Araneidae. The record is from RefSeq and is a predicted model, not a curated record. The transcript is spliced from 4 exons.
CAUCACCAUCCGAGGAUGCUAUUCAGUGACAUCUUCACGUGAAAUUAAAGAACGGAAUGAAACCAUAUUUCUUGUGGAGAUUGUUGAAGACACAGAGAGAUCAUUUCCGGAAAAAAAUGCAAUGUCUUAUGUGAAGAAUUAAAAUAAGGACAAUUAAAAGAAUAAGGAUCCAUAGUUAAAGAAGACCUGCUGUGACACAUUCCUAGUGAACAGCGAAAAAAGAAAAUUCAAUAGAGAAAAGAAAGCAGUAUCGUGAUUUAAUCACGUUUUUCGGAUUGAAAAUGGACAGUACUAGAACUUUAAAGAAAAAUCACUGUCUCCAUGAAGCAUGGGAUAUUUGAGCAAAAACAGUGCUGUGCUGAUUUUUAAAAAGAGCAUCAAACUUGAUUAGCAGAUUUCUAACUGAUAAUCUAAAUGUUGCCUUGUCAACUACUAUUGUAAAUACUUCCUAAAUAUAAUUAAUAAAUUUACAAUGAUUUA